CCUACGGGUGGCAGCAGUGAGGAAUAUUGGUCAAUGGGCGGGAGCCUGAACCAGCCAAGCCGCGUGAGGGAAGAAGGUACAGCGUAUCGUAAACCUCUUUUGUCAGGGAACAAAGGCGGGGACUAGUCCCCGGAUGAGGGUACCUGAAGAAAAAGCAUCGGCUAACUCCGUGCCAGCAGCCGCGGUAAUACGGAGGAUGCGAGCGUUGUCCGGAUUUAUUGGGUUUAAAGGGUGCGCAGGCGGCCUGUUAAGUCAGCGGGAAAAGCCCGGGGCUCAACCCCGGCGAGCCGUUGACACCGGCGGGCUGGAGUUGGAGAGAAGUACGCGGAAUGCGCGGUGUAGCGGUGACAUGCUUAGAUAUCGCGCAGAACCCCGAUUGCGAAGGCAGCGUACCGGCUCCACACUGACGCUGAGGCACGAAAGCGUGGGUAUCGAACAGGAUUAGAUACCCUUGUAGUC
This 459-nucleotide ribosomal RNA is filed under the name uncultured bacterium. RNAcentral's name for it is "partial 16S ribosomal RNA". It matches the Rfam family "Bacterial small subunit ribosomal RNA", at positions 338 to 795 of the family's 1533-position model. The record is from RNAcentral.